CUCUAGGGAGCCUAAUAUCCUAGGUUACUUUCCCAUUGGUCUACUUAUAUUCCAUUAUUUUGUUAACAUGGCCUUGAAAACGUCUUCUAAGAUCCUUUUCCUCUCAUUUGUGCCAUUGUCAGGUGCCAGCUAGAAAUUGUUGAGGAAACAGUACCAGGCCUAGAGUUAGGAAACCAAUUUUCUUGAGUUCAAAUCUGUCCUAAUUAGUUGUGUGACCCUGGGCAAAUCUCUUAUCCUUGUUUGCCUCAGUUUCCUCAUCUGUCAAAUGAACUGGAGAAGGAAAAGACAAAUUACUCUAGUAUCUUUGCCAAGAAAACCCCAGAUAAGGUCACAAAAAAGUUAGACACAACUGAAAUGAUUGAACAAUAACAAACAGGGUUCUAAAUCACUUAAGACAACUUAUCAAACUGUGUGGAGCCCAAUCCUUUAAGAAUAGAGUAAGAAGGAGGCAUUUAAAUGGCUCAGUGGAUGGAGAACCAAGCCUAGAGAUGAGAGAUCCUGGCUUCGGAUCUGGACUCAGACACUUCCUACCUGUGUUAUCUUGGGCAAGUUGCCUAAAUUCCAUUGCCUAGCCUUUACCAUUAUUCCUUGGAACCAAUGCACAGUAUUGAUUCUAAGAUGGAAGGUAAGGGUUUAAGAAAAAAAAAAGAAUGAAGUCAGAAAAGUGGAAGUUUAAAAUGAGCUAAUCCUCACAAAGAAAGUCAACAAAAAUAAUUUAGCUUUUGUUUUUGCUUUUUUGUUUUAUCAGGAAAAAGAUGAUCAGAGAUUGAAUAGGACCAUAACAUAGAGUGGAUAGGCCUGAGAGAAAGACGUAACUACUCAUCUCACAUUUUACUUCUGUUUUGUUUGCAAAGGGAAAUGAUCUUUGGAUUGAAUAGGAAAAUGUCUAAUGAUAGAAAUAUCUAAUAGGCAGGUGACAUCCAAAUAUGUAGAAUGAGAAUAAGAGAUCUCCUUGCUGCCUUCAAUGAGUCCAUAUCACAGGCUCAAAGACAUAACAUUAUAAGAAUAGUGGAAGAAAUGUAUGAUCUGCUUGUUCUUUCUCUGGAUUGACUGUGAUAUUUAGAGCACAGGAGAUGAAAAAGGUUGCAGUGGAGAAUUAAACAAAGGAACAUAAGCGUAAUAUCACUGACAUGAUGGAGAAGUGAGUAUCCAUGGGAUUAGGGAGGAGGGCAAUAGCAUUGAGUGGGAAAAAAAGGGGCAUAUAGGAUUUGAAGAAAGAGCAUGAGAUUUGAAAUAUAAAAUUCUCAUUUCAGAUUCUGGUCCAUAUUUCUCAUGUGCUUCCUCAUUUGCAAAAUAAAGGAUUUGAACAAGUUGAUUUCUGAG
Molecule: long non-coding RNA, 1323 nt
Filed under: Monodelphis domestica (gray short-tailed opossum)
Lineage: Eukaryota; Metazoa; Chordata; Mammalia; Didelphimorphia; Didelphidae
Description: lncRNA (ENSMODG00000039787.1)
Source: RNAcentral